CCGUAGAAAUUGAUCGAAACUGAAUUAUUCCCAGUUUGUCGACACUGGAAUAUUCCCACUUAACCGACAUCCCAAAUAACCGACGUCGCAAAUGAUCGACACCACAAAUUGUCGACAUCCCAUAUUGUCGACAAUGAAAUAGUUUCACUAUGUCGACACUGAAAUAGUCCCAGUAUAUCGACAAGCUCCCGUUCUUCGGAGCUACUCUUGAAAAGGAGUUGUUCUAAUUCAUCGUUCAGUUCCUCAACUCACGAGUCGUAAUAUUUAAUUCCGAAUUCCGACGCCCCGACGGACAAUGAAUAAUGAAUGAUAAGCUGGCCAUUUUGACUAAGCAUUAAGUUAUUAUUAACCUAACUUUUAUAUUGUAAAUAUUUAUCUUUUUUAUUUCUUUCCUUGCUUACAGGAAAAUUGGUGACUCGUGUGUUACAAACAAUAGUUUUUAAGGGAAAAAAUGUGAAAUAAUUUGUAUAGGUAGGUUAUGUAGGCUAAUCAACAUGAUAACAGACACUUUAGAUGAUCCUCGAGCAAAGGCUGUAAUUUGACCUGAACCCAAAUUGGUCUCUAUUUUAAAUAUUGUCUUGAACCAAUAAGUUAAGAGGACUAACCUUUCUGGAAGAGAUUGCCAUCGACAUCACAGCAGAUGAGAGAGAAAGAGAGACCAGAGUUGUGGACCCUGGAGGCAAUUACCAUACUGCCGUGAUAAUGUUCCGUGGUCUAACCAUAACUUAAGUGAGAACUGAAGCCUACCAGUAAAAUGGGGGCGUUGUAAUUAAUAUCCUCCGACAUUGGAGAAUACAGGGGAGAGGUGUCAGAGGAAGAGAAGAUGGAGGUUGGGGCGAAGUAAAGACUAAGAUUGAAGAGAACUAACUAAUGGCCUGAUGACAGGGUGGAUGGCGAUGGAGGCAUGGAGGUUGGGGGAGAGGAGGCUGAAGAAGUGGAGACAAAUCAGUUUAGAUCCAUUAUGUUGAUUAGUUUAACAUUUAUUUUGAACAUCAGUAUUUAAAUUUUUUUCUCAUUUAGAUUAUUAAAUUAAGAUAAUUUUAUUGUUUUUAUGAAGAUGUUUUCUUACAUUUUUAAUAUUUGUUUGUACUUCUGCCUGGUAAAAAAAUACUGUUUUCCUACAGUUACCUAACAAUGUACAUGUUCUCUCACUGAUUUGAGAAAGCAAAGUGGCCAAUUCGCUCAUCAGUGAGACAAUGUUAACAUUGUCUCACUCUAAUUACUUUGUCUCACUCCAGAUUUGCAACGUGAAGGCACAAAAUAGUGAGCGCGUAACAUGCAGACAAGGUCGUAUGUGCGCGAAAUACGUUGGCAGCACUGGCUGUAAAUCAGCUGGUCAGCUGUUUUACUGUUGUAUCAUUAAAUGUCAUAAGUUCACUUCUGUGUAAAAAUAUGUUACGUUUCUUUACCAAUUUAUUUGUUUUAUGGUAACUGUAGGAAAAAUAUAAUGUGCAGCUCGAGUGCAAAGUGCAAUUGCCUCACUCGAGAAAACAUUCCUCACUCGCCUACGGCUCGUGAGUAAGUAUUUCUCUCGAGUGAGUCAAUUUAUCACUUUGCUCACUAGUUGCACAAAUAACUAUUAUUAUCUUUGUUAAAAUGAUUACUUUCACUAACUGACCUUGUCUUGGGUAAAAAGAGAUAUCUUGAUAUUUAACUAGCAGGGUGCCUGUUCUAUGGGCGGGGAUUGUAUAAGUCAGUAGAAACCUUCUUAUAUUUCGAUACUUGGUAAAUUAAUCAUUUCCAACUUUAUAUAGUAUAGAUCGCUAUUCCUGUAUUGAUGUACUGAAAUGAAUAAAAUUAUAUGAAAUGAAA
This is a long non-coding RNA of Macrosteles quadrilineatus (aster leafhopper), 1812 nucleotides long. RefSeq lists it as uncharacterized. The transcript has 4 exons. Lineage: Eukaryota; Metazoa; Arthropoda; Insecta; Hemiptera; Cicadellidae. The record is from RefSeq and is a predicted model, not a curated record.